This 3026-nucleotide long non-coding RNA is filed under the name Equus caballus (horse). Its description in RNAcentral is "lncRNA (ENSECAG00000051906.1)". The record is from RNAcentral. Lineage: Eukaryota; Metazoa; Chordata; Mammalia; Perissodactyla; Equidae.
UCACUGAAAUCAAAGUGCAUGGCUCCCACUCUCCUUCUAUACAAAGCUAGUCAUGAUGCUUCCUUUGUAGGGGGAUUUCAUAGCUGUAGAUAUCUACAGGAAUGCCUUAUCAGGGAAAUAUUGAUGUGAAUUUGCUUUAAAAUCAUGGGCAUUCUUCUCUAGCUCUUUAAUAGAAUAUAAAAAUACCAAUUGAUUGAGAGGCUCUAGACAGUAGGCCUAGCUACAGCCGUACUAAUUUCUGCUUAGGCCGACAGCAUAUUUGUGCUGGUUUCUUACUCAUUUUCAGGAGUGAGGAGUUGUUGCCCCUUUGGAGCAGUAAAUAUUGAGUCCCCUUUGUAGUGAUUUUGUUUUGGAAUGCUAAUUUUCUGAGAAGAGAUGCUUCUCAGUUCUAGGGAAACAGCACUCGGGGUGAUGCUGGAGAUUGUCCAAUAGGGCUGACUUAGUUGCUGCUUCUGUGAAAAGUGACAUCCUCAUUUCCUUGGGGAACUGAAUGACUUGAAAGUAGGGCAUCUUUGGCCCUCCUGAAGAGAGGAAAUUAAAGGCGGACAGUCUGUGUAUGGAGUUUUCAGAUACCUUCACCUAAGUGAGAAACCUGCCUUCAUCAGGACCUCAGAUGUCUGACAGCCCUGUGUGACACCAAGAGAAGUAGUGGUUGAAACUACUGUCAAUGGACUGUUGCAUUGAAAUUUUGGAUCAUGUCUCACAUUUUAAUCAGGAAAAUAGGACCCCAGAGGAAUAAAUUCUGCAGGUCCCAAAGGCACAUAAAAAAGUGGCUCAGUGCCUAGGAAUUCACAUAAAGGAAAACAACCUGGAUCCCAUUGAGGAUAUUACAUUUAGUCAUCACGUCUCCUUAGACUCCUCUUGGCUGUGACAGCUUCUUAGACUUUCUUUGUUUUUGAUGAGCUUGAGUUUUGGGUCAGGUGUUUUGUAAAAAGUCCCUUCAAUUAGGAUUGAGUUUUUCUCAGGAUUAGGCUAGGCAUUAAGGAAUUUUGAGAGAACACAGAAGUAAAGUGCCAUUCUCAUCAUGUAUCAAGAGUGUAUACUAUCAAUAUGAUUUUCUCCUAUUGAUGUUAAUCUUGAUCACCUGGCUGAGGUCUUAUUUGCCAGUUUUCUCCACUGUAAAGUUACUCCCCCUCACCCAACACUGUACUCUUUGGGAAUAAAGUCACUAUGUGAAGCCCAUAAUUAAGGAGAGGGGAGUUGUGUUCUCCUUGAGGGUAGAAGGUCUACAUAAGUUAUUUGGAAUUCUUCAGAAAGAAAUUGGUCUCUUCUCCCUCAUUUAUUCAAUUUAUACUUUAGGAAAAAAAUCCAAUAAUACUUAAUUUUGUUAAAGUGUUCCAGAUUUGGCCUUUGGGAGCUGUUUCAGGUGGCUCCUAUGUCCCUUCAAUAUGCCCCCAUCAUUGUGAGGUUGUUUUAAGCACUUCUCACUAUGGCCCUAUACGAUGGUUCAGGCUCAUCUUGUAUUUUUCCUGUCCCAGUCCCAGAGUCAACCAUUUGGUUGUAAGUUUUAUCCUGGUACUCACAAGGAGCCCUGCUUCCUUUAUUGGAGAAUAAUACUAAGGAACCAAGAUCUGGGCACUAGAUGUGCUCUUGGUACUGAGGUUUUGUUGCUUCUAGGCCCUAUCAGCUGAUAGAACACUGAAGUAUAUAUGUAUGCAUAUAUAAGGAUCCUAACCAGGAUCCUUAGUUUAUAGCCCCCUAUAUUCUAUAAAUGUUCCACUUUUAAUAAUGACAUUUUAUUCUAUGGUCUUUGUUUAUUCUCUUUCAUCUAGAAUAGUGGUUGAGCUGUUGUCUUUUAUAGCAGAUGCUGUAGUUCCCAGAUGACUGAUUAUUUUUACCCUAUGAGCUCACAGUAGAGGAUGGGAAUUUUGUGUCAGCUGCCGGUAGAGAGGAGCCAAGCCCAGGCCCUGGUGUCCUAAAGAGUUGAAGGAGAAGAGAGAGAGCCUUAAGGCACAGAACCUCUGAGUUAGAAUCAGGGCUUCACCAGAGCAGCAGAUGGUCAAACUGCUUCUCCUUCCCCUCAGUUGCAAUUCUCUCAAGAACUCCAGGUGCUAGUAAGUAAGGUUGCAUUAUGCUGGCCACUCCAGCAAGUGAUGAGUUGAACAUGAGGCAAUGAAUAGGAUAGGGGAAAAGAACAGAAGUUUCGUCACCACCAAGAUUACCCCUACUCCCAUGGCACUCUACCCUUUUCUACACUGGACUUCCAUUUCUUGCCCUUGUAUAGUGGGACCCAAUCAUGAUCUGUUUCUCCAAGGGACUCUUCAUAUUUAAUUUCUCAGAUCUCUAACUUCCCUCUUAUUUGUGUAAUACCUCCAGGGCUGAGUUAGAGGAAGAGGCAAUAGCCUAUGGUAAUUACUCAUCUUGUCAAACUGGUCAUUUAAUAGAUACCCUUUAUCGGUUUAUUAGUUUUAUUAACUGAAUUCUGUUAGACAUUGGGGAUAAGUGAUGAACAAACACAUUCUCUGCUCACCUUAAUAUGUACAGUCUAGCCUUUAUCUCUCUCGCCUCAUCUUUGCCACCUUGGUUUCUUUCAGUCCUUGAUAAGCCUUUUACUACGAGGUCUCUGCGCAUGCUGUUUCUGUCUGGGUCCAUCUUCUCUACUUUGUCUAAUUUGAGAUCUCGGCUCAGACAGCACUUCUGCAGAGAAGCCACCUUUCCUGACUGAGCACCCAUUAUAUGUGUAAUUGCACUGUUUUACCACAGAGCUAGAAAGUCAGCUGCCAUGUAAGAGUCCUUUGAAAAGCUGGUAUUCACCAGCUUCUAAAGAUUUACCUCAUUCCCCUAUGGCCAAGCAGGUUCAAUUCUACUGACAACUGAUUAAAGGGCCUCAGCUGGUAAAUAUUAAUGUCUGUGUGUCAUAAUGUACCCAAAAUAGAGUAAGGCCAUAGGCAUAUCCUGUUUUUUAAUAAUACCCCAGUAAAUGAGGAUAAAGAGAUUGCUGGUUUUGUUCUUUUUAAAAAAUUUUGAAACAGAAAAAUCAUAGAAACAAGUGUCAGAUUUCCUAAUCAUUUGCUAGUGGACCCUAA